GACGAACGCUGGCGGCGUGCCUAAUACAUGCAAGUCGAGCGGUCCCUUCGGGGAUAGCGGCGGACGGGUGAGUAACACGUAGGCAACCUGCCUGUAAGACCGGAAUAACUAUCGGAAACGAUAGCUAAGACCGGAUAGCUGGUUUUCUCGCAUGAGAGAAUCAUGAAACACGGGGCAACCUGUGGCUUACAGAUGGGCCUGCGGCGCAUUAGCUAGUUGGUAGGGUAACGGCCUACCAAGGCGACGAUGCGUAGCCGACCUGAGAGGGUGACCGGCCACACUGGGACUGAGACACGGCCCAGACUCCUACGGGAGGCAGCAGUAGGGAAUCUUCCGCAAUGGACGCAAGUCUGACGGAGCAACGCCGCGUGAGUGAUGAAGGUCUUCGGAUCGUAAAGCUCUGUUGCCCUAGACGAACAGCAAGGAGAGUAACUGCUCUUUGUGUGACGGUAUAGGAGAAGAAAGCCCCGGCUAACUACGUGCCAGCCGCCGCCGUAA
RNAcentral lists this ribosomal RNA (498 nucleotides) under uncultured bacterium. RNAcentral's name for it is "partial 16S ribosomal RNA". It matches the Rfam family "Bacterial small subunit ribosomal RNA", at positions 28 to 523 of the family's 1533-position model. The record is from RNAcentral.